RNAcentral lists this ribosomal RNA (487 nucleotides) under uncultured Brachybacterium sp. RNAcentral's name for it is "bacterial SSU rRNA". It matches the Rfam family "Bacterial small subunit ribosomal RNA", at positions 9 to 507 of the family's 1533-position model. Lineage: Bacteria; Bacillati; Actinomycetota; Actinomycetes; Micrococcales; Dermabacteraceae. The record is from RNAcentral.
GAGUUUGACUCCGUGGCUCGAGGACACGCUGGCGGCGUGCUUAACACAUGCAAGUCGAACGAUGACGACCGUGCUUGCACGGUCUGAUUAGUGGCGAACGGGUGAGUAACACGUGAGUAACCUGCCCUUCACUUCGGGAUAACCUCGGGAAAUCGUGGCUAAUACCGGAUAUGAACCCUUGUCGCAUGGUGGGGGUUGGAAAGAUUUAUCGGUGAAGGAUGGACUCGCGGCCUAUCAGUUGUUGGUGAGGUAAUGGCUCACCAAGACGAUGACGGGUAGCCGGCCUGAGAGGGCGACCGGCCACACUGGGACUGAGACACGGCCCAGACUCCUACGGGAGGCAGCAGUGGGAAAUAUUGCACAAUGGGCGAAAGCCUGAUGCAGCGACGCCGCGUGAGGGAUGACGGCCUUCGGGUUGUAAACCUCUUUCAGUAGGGAAGAAGCGAGAGUGACGGUACCUGCAGAAGAAGCGCCGGCUAACUACGUG